AAACCAAGUGAGAUUAUUCUUGGAACAACUUUGGUCUGAUGAAUGAGAAAUUCAAAUUCUUCUUGAGUACUUGCGUGUCAUGGCUUUCAUGCUCUUCCAUAGCCUAGAUGUGUCAUUAAUCAAGUUGUUUUGAAAACAACCCAAUAAAUGUUCUACUUCAGCUGUAGGCCUACCCCUUUCGGUUGUUACUACGAGAAAAUGAGAUGGCAUCUUGUGUCAGUCUCGCCAGUAUUUAAGUCAUCAUCGUGGUGUUGUACAAAUAUACAGCAAACAAGUAGAUGUCUUUGCACAUCCAUUAAUACUGCAAAAGAAUUCUUUGUUGAUUAAAGAAGAAGUCCAAUAUCGGCUGCAAUCUGCAGAAUAAUCCAUCUCGUCGCAGACUCGCACAGUGGUUAAGGUUGUGAAGUUGUCAUGUUGUCAAUAGGUGGGGUUCGAAUUCGUCAACCAGAGGUGGUCUUUGAAAGCCAAACCACGUCAUUCGUUUCCGGGACAAUGUGCGGAUUGUGCGGUGUUGUAUCCAUUACGUCGAGUUUCCAACCUUUUUCAUCAUCAAGAUGGAAAGGUGGUUUUGCCUACAAUUUCAGUCCCACUCCCAGUGUGUCAUCUGGCCAAGUGGCCUGAAAUUGCUGUCCGGAUGCCGAAAUGUCGUCUCGUACCAGAAACUUUAAUGCAAUGCUGUAAAAUUACAAAAAAAAAAUGUUGAAGCACCUUUGGAAGAAGUCAUUGGCAUGCUAAUUUCAUUUUGUAACUACUGUCGGCUUCCAUAGAUGGUGAAAGAUGUGCUUGACGCGAAACAAGCUGCUGUUGUCUAUGCUGGUGUUGGUGAAUCUACAGUUGCUUUUCUUACCUUCUUCAGCUUCUCUGGACACAUGGUUUUUUUACAGGGAAAUAUGCUGGAGUAAUCUAGUCUUCAUCCUCAUUUGAUUCGUUUCGUGCCAGCUAGUGGAAGGCGUGACGAAUUCCAGCAAGCAAUCAAGCAAUAUCCAGUCGUUCCGUUCAGUCAUUUGAACAGAAAUCUAUUGGCUGUCGCUAUAGUUGGCUAAAAUGUCCACCAGGGAACGCGGGUGUGUUCAAGGACGGAAAAAUUCAGCCAUUCUGUUCCAAGACGCAGCCAAAUUUGAUGGUCUUGACGUUUACCUUGUUAAAAUUGAAAAUUGAAAGCAUGUAAAAAGCACUUUGCCAAAAUCAUCGGACUUGAAACUACCUGUACAUUUUGCCGAAAUGUUGUACCUCCUACUGGCCUCGUGUGUCUUGCUGCUUGUAGACAAGGUUCAACAGCCAGGUGAUAUUUCUGCAUUGUUGUUUUACACAACUUGGUUUUUGGGUGCGGCCAGCCGGUGAAAGGUGCUAUCAAAUCAAGUUGAGCUGUUACAUGGAGUCUGUGGUGGCGGUGUUAUCCUGGAGUGUGUUGGUGUUCUGACUGUUUGUGUUAAGUGUAUUCUCUUCGUCAGAUAACAAUUUUUCAUUUUCGAUUGAAGUAGGUUAUGAUGUAGAUAAUGGCACAUCUGGGCUUCCUCUUCUCUGGUCCCGUUUCCCUAAUAAUUAACCAACGCUCGCCGGUGGUCGCUCACUCGCUAUGAAACUAGGAGGAUGAGAGGGCUCUGGUCGAACGGGGACUUGAAAGGUUGAUGAUCCGAUGAAAACUUUUGGAAGAUCAUGAAUCUAAUUAGGAAUCCUACUAUGAUUAAUCGAACCUAGCAAAACUUGUCUCGCACUCUUCUCUCUUCUUCCAUGUCCAGGGAAUCUACCUGGGCAGAGUCUCCCCCUGUCUUGAUUGGUUGGACUUUGCAGGAGUAAAGUAAAAAGUGAAUUAUUUAAACCUUGUCCGAUACAAGAGCUUAAAUUGGUAACAUGGAAAAUAAUUAUAAUAAAGAAUAAAUUAACAAGAAAAAUGAAAUUAACCUGAAAUAUAUAGUACGUUAUACGGUCAUAGCAAAAUUUACAAAUACAACAUUGAUAAUCUUCUAUUUA
Daphnia pulex (common water flea) is the source of this 1971-nucleotide long non-coding RNA. RefSeq lists it as uncharacterized. The record is from RefSeq and is a predicted model, not a curated record. NCBI's taxonomy places the organism in Eukaryota, Metazoa, Arthropoda, Branchiopoda, Diplostraca, Daphniidae. The transcript has 9 exons.